UUUUUUAAUUGAAAGCUUGUAUGAAUGGUUGAAUGAAAUAUUAACUGUUUCAUAAAUAAAAAUUAAAAUUUUAUUUUUUAGUAAAAAAGCUAAAAUAAAAUUAAAGGACGAGAAGACCCUAUAAAGUUUUAUAAUAUAUAAAUAAUUAUUUUUGUAGAAAAUUUUGAAUUUUAAUUUUUAUAUUAUUUUAUUGGGGUGAUAAUAAAAUUUAAAAAACUUUUGUAAUUUUUUAACAUUAAUUUAUGAAUUUAUGAUCCAAUUAUAUUGAUUAAAAAUUUAAAUUACUUUAGGGAUAACAGCGUAAUUUUUUUUUAAAGUUCAUAUUAAUAAAAAAGAUUGC
This 340-nucleotide ribosomal RNA is filed under the name unidentified. Its description in RNAcentral is "Antlemon halidayi partial 16S ribosomal RNA". The record is from RNAcentral.